GAUGAACGCUGGCGGCGUGCCUAAUACAUGCAAGUCGAGCGAACGGACGAGAAGCUUGCUUCUCUGAUGUUAGCGGCGGACGGGUGAGUAACACGUGGCUAACCUACCUAUAAGACUGGGAUAACUUCGGGAAACCGGAGCUAAUACCGGAUGAUAUUUUGAACCGCAUGGUUCAACAGUGAAAGACGGUCUUGCUGUCACUUAUAGAUGGAUCCGCGCUGCAUUAGCUAGUUGGUAAGGUAACGGCUUACCAAGGCAACGAUGCAUAGCCGACCUGAGAGGGUGAUCGGCCACACUGGAACUGAGACACGGUCCAGACUCCUACGGGAGGCAGCAGUAGGGAAUCUUCCGCAAUGGGCGAAAGCCUGACGGAGCAACGCCGCGUGAGUGAUGAAGGUCUUCGGAUCGUAAAACUCUGUUAUUAGGGAAGAACAUAAGUGUAAGUAACUGUGCACAUCUUGACGGUACCUAAUCAGAAAGCCACGGCUAACUACGUG
This 497-nucleotide ribosomal RNA is filed under the name uncultured bacterium. Its description in RNAcentral is "partial 16S ribosomal RNA". It matches the Rfam family "Bacterial small subunit ribosomal RNA", at positions 28 to 507 of the family's 1533-position model. The record is from RNAcentral.